Long non-coding RNA from Anopheles funestus (African malaria mosquito), 1486 nucleotides. RefSeq lists it as uncharacterized. The transcript has 3 exons. Lineage: Eukaryota; Metazoa; Arthropoda; Insecta; Diptera; Culicidae. The record is from RefSeq and is a predicted model, not a curated record.
GGUGUCUUCGCUAAUGUGUCUUGGCUAAGGUGUCUUGGCUAAUGUGUCUUGGCUAAUGUGUCUUGGCUAGUGUGUCUUGGCUAAGGUGUCUUGGCUAAUGUGUCUUGGCUAAGGUGUCUUGGCUAAUGUGUCUUGGCUAAUGUGUCUCGGCUAAUGUGUCUUGGCUAAGGUGUCUUGGCUAAUGUGUCUUGGCUAAGGUGUCUUGGCUAAUGUGUCUUGGCUAAUGUGUCUUGGCUAAUGUGUCUUGGCUAAUGUGUCUUGGCUUAGGUGUCUUGGCUAAUGUGUCUUGGCUAAUGUGUCUUGGCUAAUGUGUCUUGGCUAAUGUGUCUUGGCUAAUGUGUCUCGGCUAAUGUGUCUUGGCUAAUGUGUCUCGGCUAAUGUGUCUUGGCUAAUGUGUCUUGGCUAAUGUGUCUUGGCUAAUGUGUCUUGGCUAAUGUGUCUUGGCUAAGGUGUCUUGGCUAAUGUGUCUUGGCUAAUGUGUCUUGGCUAAGGUGUCUUGGCUAAUGUGUUUUGGCUAAUGUGUCUUGGCUAAUGUGUCUCGGCUAAGGUGUCUUGGCUAAUGUGUCUUGGCUAAUGUGUCUUGGCUAAUGUGUCUUGGCUAAUGUAUCUUGGCUAAUGUGUCUUGGCUAAUGUGUCUUGGCUACUGUGUCUUUGCUAAGGUGUCUUGGCUAAUGUGUCUUGGCUAAGGUGUCUUGGCUAAGGUGUCUUGGCUAAUGUGUCUUGGCUAAGGUGUCUUGGCUAAGGUGUCUUGGCUAAUGUGUCUUGGCUAAUGUGUCUUGGCUAAUGUGUCUUGGCUAAGGUGUCUUGGCUAAGGUGUCUUGGCUAAGGUGUCUUGGCUAAUGUGUCUUGGCUAAUGUGUCUUGGCUAAUGUGUCUUGGCUAAGGUGUCUUGGCUAAGGUGUCUUGGCUAAUAUGUCUUGGCUAAUGUGUCUUGGCUAAUGUGUUUUGGCUAAUGUGUCUUGGCUAAUGUGUCUUGGCUAAGGUGUCUUGGCUAAAGUGUCUUGGCUAAGGUGUCUUGGCUAAGGUGUCUUGGCUAAGGUGUCUUGGCUAAGGUGUCUUGGCUAAGGUGUCUUGGCUAAGGUGUCUUGGCUAAGGUGUCUUGGCUAAGGUGUCUUGGCUAAUGUGUCUUGGCUAAGGUGUCUUGGCUAAGGUGUCUUGGCUAAGGUGUCUUGGCUAAGGUGUCUUGGCUAAGGUGUCUUGGCUAAGGUGUCUUGGCUAAGGUGUCUUGGCUAAGGUGUCUUGGCUAAGGUGUCUUGGCUAAGGUGUCUUGGCUAAUGUGUCUUGGCUAAUGUGUCUUGGCUAAUGUGUCUUGGCUAAGGUGUCUUGGCUAAGGUGUCUUGGCUAAUGUGUCUAGGCUAAGGUGUCUAGGCUAAGGUGUCUUGGCUAAUGUAACUUGGCUAAUGUGUCUUGGCUAAUGUGUCUUGGCUAAUGUGUCUUGGCUAAGGUGUCUUGGCUAAGGUGUCUUGGCUAAUGUGUCUUGGCUAAUG